UAUGUGUCAGGCGGCGUUGGCAUGCACUUCUCUCUCAGUAGGACGUCGCGACCCGUUUGGUGUCGAUCUACGACCGCGGCGGUAGCCUGUCACGAAUUUAUUCGCGCCAGACCCCGCGUGCUCCGGUCCGAAGCUGCCAGACGGUAUAAAUGAUAUGGUAUAGGGUCGCUUUUAAGCGUUCGGGCGGUUGGCAAAGCACGGACGGUUAUUGGACCGUGGACCUACAUCGGCAUCGAUGCCGCCUCGAGCUGUUAGCACCGUGUUCUCGAAAGGACUCUAUUACCGGUCAGCGAUGCUACUAUUGCGUUUGGGUACUUUUCAGGACCGUCUUGAAACACGGACCAUGAGUCUAGCAUGUGCGCGAGUCAUUGGAAAUACAAAACCUAAAGGCGCAAUGAACGUAAGGUUUGCUUACGUAAACUGAGGGAUGACGGACCGCAUCUACGAAUGCGUGCCUGCAAUCCCGAGGCGGGUCUCACUCUCAUUGCGAGAAGAGACGCACUCAGAGCGUACACGCUAGGACCGAAAGAUGGUGAACUAUGCCCGGUCAGGUCGAAGUCAGGAAAAACCCUGAUGGAGAACCGUAGCGAUUCUGACGUGCAAAUCGAUCGUCGGAACUGGGUAUAGGGGCGAAAGACUAAUCGAACCGUCUAGUAGCUGGUUCCCUCCGAAGUUUUCCCUCAGAUAGCUGGCAUUCGAGGCGAGUUCUCAUCCGGUAAAGCGAAUGAUUAGAGGCCUUGUGGCCGAAACGACCUCAACCUAUUCUCAAACUUUAAUGGGUGAGAGCUCUGGCUUGCUUGAAUAGUGAAGCCAGAGAUUUGGAUCAGAGUGCCUAGUGGGCCAUUUUGGUAAGCAGAACUGGCGCUGUGGGAUGAACCAAACGCCGAGUUAAAAGCGCCUAAACGACGCUAAUGGGAUACCAUGAAAGGCGUUGGUUGCUUAGACAGCAGGACGGUGGCCAUGGAAGUUGGAAUCCGCUAAGGAGUGUGUAACAACCACUCUGCCGAAGCAAAACCAGCCCUGAAAAUGGAUGGCGCUGAAGCGCGUGCCUAUACUCGGCCGCCAAGGCAUGAGAAACGUUCAUAAUAGUUCGUUUUGACGCCCUGGUGAGGAGGUGUCGCGGUGGUGUGCGCAGAAGGUUUGGGCGUAAGCCUGCCUGGAGCCGCCAUCGGUGGCAGAUCUUGGUGGUAGUAGCAAAUACUCCAGCGAGGCCCUGGAGGACUGACGUGGAGAAGGGUUUCGUGUGAACAGCCGUUGCACACGAGUCAGUCGAUCCUAAGCCCUCAGGAGAGAAUCCUAUGUUGAUGUCGGUUAUUUUAUUUGAAUAAAAUUUCACACCCAUCGGGCGAUAGGGAAUCCGGUUCCUAUUCCGGAACCCGGCAGCGGAACCGUUUACAAUCGGGCCCUCGCAAGAGAGUUUGUCGGGGUAGAGUUUUCUUUUCUGUAUGAGCGUUCGAGUUCCCGGAAUCCUCUAGAAGGGAGAUAGGGUUUGGAACGCAAAGAGCACCGCUGUUGCGGCGGUGUCCGUUCUUCCCCUCGGACCUUGAAAAUCCAAGAGAGGGCCACGGUAGGUGUCGCGCCGGUUCGUACCCAUAUCCGCAGCAGGUCUCCAAGGUGAAGGGCCUCUAGUCGAUAGAUAAAUGUAGGUAGGGAAGUCGGCAAAUUGGAUCCGUAACUUCGGGAUAAGGAUUGGCUCUGAGGAUCGGGGCGUGCCGGGCUUGGUUGGGAAGCGGGCGUAGGCGAUGUGCCGGGCCUGGGCAAGGUGAAAUUGUCCUUGUGACUUAGAUGCGAGCUCGGUCCCGUGUCUAGGCCCCCGCGGAUCUUCUUGCUGCGAGGUUUUCUUGCCGGCUUCGGUCGGUCAGUCGUACUCUUCGGCCGCCAUUCAACUGUCAGCUCAGAAACUGGCACGGACUAGGGAAUUCGACUGUCUAAUUAAAACAAAGCAUUGCGAUGGCCCUAGCGGGUGUUGACGCAAUGUGAUUUCUGCCCAGUGCUCUGAAUGUCAACGUGAAGAAAUUCAAGCAAGCGCGGUAAACGGCAGGAGUAACUAUGACUCUCUUAAGCAUUCCCCUCCUAGCCAAAAAAAAAAUAAAAAAAAUAGCCAAUGCCUCGUCAUCUAACUAGUGACGCGCAUAAUGGAUUAACGAGAUUCCCACUGUCCCUAUCUACUUUCUAGCGAACCACUGCCAAGGGAACGGGCUUGGAAAAUUACGGGGAAAGAAGACCCUGUUGAGCUUGACUCUAGUCUGGCAUUGUAAGGAGACAUGAAAAGGUGUACAUAAGUGGGAGAUAGUAAUAUCGUCGGUUGAAAUACCACUACUUUCAUCGUUUCUUACUUACUCGAUUGGGCGGAAAGCGUGCGUCGAAAACUUGCGUUCCGACUGUCACGGUUUUCUAGAGCCAAGCGCAUAAGAGUGGUGUAAGCCAUCGCGCCGAUCGCCAACAAUACUCUAGCGUGAUCCGAUUCGAGGAAACUGCUAGGCGGAUAGUUUGACUGGGGCGGUACAUCUGUCAAAUAAUAACGCCGGUGUCCUAAGGCCAGCUCAGCGAGGACAGAAACCUCGCGUAGAGCAAAAGGGCAAAUGCUGGCUUGAUCCCGUUGCUCAGUGUGCACAGGGACUGCGAAAGCAUGGCGUAUCGAUCCUUUUGGCUUGAAGUUUUCAGCAAGAGGUGUCAGAAAGUUACCACAGGGAUAACUGGCUUGUGGCAGCCAGCGUUCAUAGCGACGUUGCUUUUUGAUCUUUCGAUGUCGGCUCUUCCUAUCAUUGCGAAGCA
Molecule: ribosomal RNA, 2775 nt
Filed under: Ctenocephalides felis (cat flea)
Lineage: Eukaryota; Metazoa; Arthropoda; Insecta; Siphonaptera; Pulicidae
Description: eukaryotic LSU rRNA
Rfam family: Eukaryotic large subunit ribosomal RNA
Source: RNAcentral